AUAUUGAUAUUAAUAAAAAUGUUUCUCCUCUAAAGAAUACGCUUAUUACCAGACACACAGUAACAUUAUCAAAUAUAAUGAAAUUAUUUUAUGUUAUAUUUACUAGUACUUAUAAAAAAAAGGAAAUUAAUCCUACAAAAAUACUUUAAUAAAAAAUGACUGAAAUUAAUCCUACAAAAAUACUACAAUAAAAAAAAUGAUUGGCCCACUGAAUUACAUGUGGAUAUUGACAUAACUAAAAGCACAUAAAAGAAUAAGACAAAGAUUUAAAAUGAUUAUAUUGCUAUUAAUAAAAAUGUUUCUCCUCUUAUUUAUGAUGAUAUAAGUAAAGAAUAUGCAUAUUGGUGUCAACAGAGAAUAGAGA
Long non-coding RNA from Amphimedon queenslandica, 364 nucleotides. RefSeq lists it as uncharacterized. The record is from RefSeq and is a predicted model, not a curated record. The transcript has 3 exons. NCBI's taxonomy places the organism in Eukaryota, Metazoa, Porifera, Demospongiae, Haplosclerida, Niphatidae.